AACGAAAUUGCCCUCGAAACAAUGUAUUGCUCGAUUUCUACCUUUUUUACAAUGUCAUCGUCGCUCAAAUGAAGCCAUUCAACCGUUUUUGAGGUUACAAACGCGACAGAUCGUUUCCUUGUUGAAAGAAGGUUGGCGAUCACCAGCUGGUGGUUAUAACGUUGUAAAGCUACUCUUGCUUUAUCAAUCAGAAUACUAGGGUCGGUUUCUAAUUUAAAGGAAAUAAUAGAAGCUUCAGGAGCCCAUGUGUCAACCAAGAAACGCAGAAAUUUUGGAACCGGAUGCAUUUUGACUUCUAAUUUGUUACUUCCAGAACCACUUUGAAUUUUGUGCUCGCUCAAUUCCUUCGGUGGAAUAUGGAAAUCACUAACAGCAGCUGCUAAAUAAAACAAUGCUCUUGAAGCGAUUAUCUGUAAACGUUCAGCUAUAGCUUUCAGGUACCACAAAUAUUCUGUGAGUGUAGUAUAAGGAAUCAUUAUCAGUCGAUGAUGUUUCGUAUAUGUAUCUAAUUCGUUGAGUGCAUUGAAUACUGUCGAUUGAAACUCUUGUUUGACAAUCCAAGGCUUCUCCUGACUGCCAUUACUUCUUUCAAACAAAUUUGUCCAGGGACCUUCAUAUCGUCGAGUAAAUGGCAUUAAACUAUAAUUUCUAUACAGAAAAAUGACCGAAUAUCCAGACUUGCAAAAGUAUUCAGCAGAUGCUGCACCACGAUUUCCUGCACUAAAGUUAUCGAUAAAACGCACCGUAUUUUGCUCAAGAGGCACAAGUGUGCCGCCACUAGUAACAAAUGCAAUGUUUUGGGAGUUUGAUUGAAGGUUUAUAAAAUCUUCAAUCAGACUUGAGACAUCACCGAGUGAGUUAGGACAAGGAUUCUCCUCAAAGAAAUCGUUAGAUUUAUCCAUUUCUGGCAUAUAUUCUAAAUAGCUAAGAGUAUCGCAACCCAGAAAUGCCUCUCUUACGAUGAGCUCAAAAAUAAACAAACGACGUUUAAAAAACUGUAUGCGUUAUUGCUGAAUGAUAGGACUAGAGAACUCACAAAAUCUGAAAUGCUAACCAAACAGUUCUCUAGCAGCUUGUAAAUUCAGCAAGUAGUGGUCUGUUUAUUGAACAAUGUAGACGAUAGCGACACCACAAACGACUGAAACGCGACACUUUGUGAUUGUAUUACACUUAAGGCCUUUUUUUUUUAUUCAACUCGUGCUUGUCUUUUAUGAAAAGCUAAAAUUAAAAUAAAUUUUAAGUUU
This is a non-coding RNA of Schizosaccharomyces pombe (fission yeast), 1244 nucleotides long. The record is from the annotation of a GenBank genome assembly. Lineage: Eukaryota; Fungi; Ascomycota; Schizosaccharomycetes; Schizosaccharomycetales; Schizosaccharomycetaceae.